This 329-nucleotide unclassified non-coding RNA is filed under the name soil metagenome. Its description in RNAcentral is "partial contains 5.8S ribosomal RNA, internal transcribed spacer 2, and large subunit ribosomal RNA". The stretch from base 1 to 120 matches the Rfam family "5.8S ribosomal RNA", at positions 35 to 154 of the family's 154-position model. The record is from RNAcentral.
GAUGAAGAACGUAUCGAAAUGCGAUAAGUAAUGUGAAUUGCAGAAUUCAGUGAAUCAUCGAAUCUUUGAACGCACAUUGCGCCCCCUGGCAUUCCGGGGGGCAUGCCUGUUCGAGCGUCAUUACAACCCUCAAGCUCUGCUUGGUAUUGGGCUCUGCUGGGACCGGCAGGCCUUAAAAUCAGUGGCGGCGCCACUCGGCUUCAAGCGUAGUAAUUCUUCUCGCUUCGGAGACCCGGGUGCGUGCUAGCCAGCAACCCCCAACUUUCUUAGGUUGACCUCGGAUCAGGUAGGGAUACCCGCUGAACUUAAGCAUAUCAAUAAGCGGAGGA